CCUACGGGUGGCAGCAGUGAGGAAUAUUGGUCAAUGGGCGCGAGCCUGAACCAGCCAAGUCGCGUGAGGGAAGACGGCCCUACGGGUUAUAAACCUCUUUUGCCGGGGAGCAACGGGCGCCACGUGUGGCGCCACUGACAGUACCCGCAAAAAAAGCAUCGGCUAACUCCGUGCCAGCAGCCGCGGUCAUACGGAGGAUGCGAGCGUUAUCCGGAUUUAUUGGGUUUAAAGGGUGCGUAGGCGGAGCGUUAAGUCAGUGGUAAAAUUGAGGGGCUCAACCCCUUCCCGCCAUUGAAACUGGCGCACUGGAGUGGAAGAGAAGUAUGCGGAAUGCGUGGUGUAGCGGUGAAAUGCAUAGAUAGCACGCAGAACCCCGAUUGCGAAGGCAGCAUGCCGGCUUCCGACUGACGCUGAAGCACGAAAGCGUGGGGAUCGAACAGGAUUAGAUACCCGGGUAGUC
RNAcentral lists this ribosomal RNA (460 nucleotides) under uncultured bacterium. RNAcentral describes it as "partial 16S ribosomal RNA". It matches the Rfam family "Bacterial small subunit ribosomal RNA", at positions 338 to 795 of the family's 1533-position model. The record is from RNAcentral.